CUACCCCCCCACACACACACACACAUACACACCCUCCCAAUCUAAUUUUGGGGACGUGGGGAUGUUCGGGAUAAAAAACUGUUUUCAUUCCCCUUUAACUCCUGAACAAAUAUAAUCAUGCCAGUCCGUAGACCAAAAUGAUUGUUAAAAUAAGCCCCAUAUCUUAGCCCUUGCCUUUCUGAGGAUUUCAUCAUAGGAUGACAGAACAUUUGAUCAAACAGGAGAAAAGUGGGAAGUAACUUACAAUAGGGGAGAAAAGCUCCCUAAUUUGAAUACAAAUGUCAGGUAUAAGUUGGUAAAGAUCAGCAGUCAGCUGUAGAACUUGAUAGAAACUUAGCUAAGCCAUUCCUCAGCCCUUCCAUUGGCCCUUGUGAUUGUAUCCUAACCCAUUUUCCUCCAUAGCAUUUCUUUUCCCCAUGAUCUUUCCAAAGAAUUCACCUAUAGAUCUCAAUUCUCUCUCGCCAUGCUAAGAUUAUCUUUCUUACUACCAAUUCCUUCUAGGCUCCAUCAUUUCUUUCCUAACGUCUUCUGAUUCGACUUUGAGACAACCCAGCACUCUGGAAUCUUUGCUGUGACUUCUCCAAUGGACAGAUGUUCCGUUCCAUCCUCCUAACGAGGUUUCCAUGCAAAAAUAUCGGAAUAAGUGGUUGUUGGCAAGCAAAGCAUGUGAUGGUGUCCCUGUGAUGUUCAGGUGGCUCAGAAGAUGUAUUUGGUUCAAGAUUGGAUGGGGGAGUGGCAGACCUCUACUUUGGCCAGUGAGCUGUCCACCCUAGAAAAUCAGAACAAGUGGUUGCUGGCAAGCAAAGCAUAUGAUGGUGUCCCUGUGAUGUUCAGGUGGCUCAGAAGAUGUAUUUGGUUCAAGAUUGGAGGGGGAGUGGCAGACCUCUACUUUGGCCAGUGAGGUGAGUGGCUGUGGCAGACUGCAUGAUGCGUCCAAACCCUUUUUCUUUGACUCUUCCAUGAGGCGCUGGAAGUCUUGAAUAGGAAAGCAAGGAAUCAAUAGCUCAGAGGCUAAGCUCUGAGCAUUACUUCAUAGGGAUCUUAACCUGUUGUCCUGACAUUUCCCAAAAAGGAGCAUUUACUAAAGAAGAAUGGCAUUUGCUCGGGCAGGCUAUGAAACAAAGUGAGGCAAAAGGACAUAGAGUGUUAGCCGCCAUUGAGGUCCCAUGCACUCUAGUGAGGAUACUGCACAAACUGUGGAGAGUUGAGCUGUUCCUCACCUGCAGCCCCACCUUUCACUGCUUCUACUCACUCUUCUUUACCCUUUGAAUCAGAUGGCCAAGGAGAUAGACCCCUUCCUUUAUGCUGCAGAUGCCAAGAACCAGCCCCAUGGCCUGGGGCAAGCCUCCUGCCCAAAUCCCUUGUUUCUGUCCUCACUGCUGUCAAAUGAUAGCUAAACCCCAGCAUGGAGGCAUGCUGUCCUCCCAAGGAGCAGAUUUUGCUCGCAAGCUCUCCCACCUUGGCUGCCUCCUGACCACAGUCAAC
This 1485-nucleotide long non-coding RNA is filed under the name Monodelphis domestica (gray short-tailed opossum). RNAcentral describes it as "lncRNA (ENSMODG00000039376.1)". The record is from RNAcentral. Lineage: Eukaryota; Metazoa; Chordata; Mammalia; Didelphimorphia; Didelphidae.